CAGACUAACAUUCAUAUCUGCAAGCUUCAUGGACGGCUAGCAACUGCAGCAAAGAGCAACCGAAAACUUCCACCAUUUCCUCUACAAACUCCACCAAAUUCAACCAAAACUUCACACACACUUAGCUCUUCACUUGGACAAUCACUUGGACAAAGAAGGAGCUGCACAUUCACGAUUUUUCUUGGGGCUUUUGGACACCAAAAUCUGACCUUUUAGCACACAAGUAAGGCACGCACGAGGACCUCCAAGAGGACCCUACCGUGGAAGUUUGAACUCUCAAUCCAACCUACUUGCUUGCAUAUCUUGGUUUGAACUCGGAGGUGAAAUGGAGAAACCCUCC
Long non-coding RNA from Coffea arabica (coffee), 340 nucleotides. RefSeq lists it as uncharacterized. NCBI's taxonomy places the organism in Eukaryota, Viridiplantae, Streptophyta, Magnoliopsida, Gentianales, Rubiaceae. The record is from RefSeq and is a predicted model, not a curated record.